RNAcentral lists this ribosomal RNA (948 nucleotides) under Triticum aestivum (bread wheat). Its description in RNAcentral is "partial small subunit ribosomal RNA". The record is from RNAcentral. Lineage: Eukaryota; Viridiplantae; Streptophyta; Magnoliopsida; Poales; Poaceae.
AUGGCUAUUACUAAUUGGUUAGACGCGCAACUCGUAUCAACGUCGUCCCCUCGUCUUGUGGAUCAGCGCCGCAGGCCCCACAUGGACCCACCCGAUCUUGCCUAUUUCAAUUUUUCUCAGCGCAUACGGAGCGAAUACAGGUCCUAUCGUAUCUGGCAUCCUACCUGCGCUCGAUGCGUAGCCUGUACUCGCCUACCCCCCGUCCACUACCCCGUGACCAGGCUCCCCCGACCAUCCCCAUCCACAAUUCGAAUCAGGCAGACGCGGCUGCAUCGAGCGGAGGAACCACGCCCUCCACAUCCACGCGCCUGGAUCCCUAGGUUGCUUCACGAUUCAACGAUGAAUCUCAGUGCAGAUUCAUUCACGGAUCUCCUCUUCAGAUUCUGUUCCCAUCCGGUUGCAACAGAGGGCGUCCCGGAUCUGGGAUUGCUAGAGGGGGAGGAGGAGGAGGAGGAGGAGCACGAAGAGCGCAUCCAUCCUAAUUUCCAGAACCAUUCUCCUUCAUCAAGCCAAGAUGGAGAGAAAUAUGGUGCCACAGAUUUAGGAACUCCUCCUCCUCAUGCCAUGCCAGAUUUCUCCAACGUCCCAUAUAUUGACGACAACAAAGAGACUUCGCCUGAAUUGCAUCCCACUCCAGUUCCGUGGACUCAAAGGGUCCGACUUGGCAAAAUUCAUGACAGCCGUGCCACAUUAUCGAGAAGGAGAAGUGCUUUGGAAAAGGCCGUGAGAAAUUACGCAGAUAAGAAGUCAGAGUUCGUCGUCAAGCCAGAGAUCAUUCCAGAGGCCAUGCCAGACUUCUGGCCUUCCAACUCUGUGGCUGGGAAGAAAUUGUUAAAGGAAACUUAUCGGCAGCUGAUGGUUGCAUGGUGGCUUGGGUUACAAGAUCAGGCCACAACUGAGCUGCAUGACCAAGAUAUGCCUGUCAUACCAGGAGCAACUAUUCUAUGA